Molecule: long non-coding RNA, 298 nt
Organism: Syngnathus typhle (broad-nosed pipefish)
Lineage: Eukaryota; Metazoa; Chordata; Actinopteri; Syngnathiformes; Syngnathidae
Exons: 3
Source: RefSeq, a predicted model, not a curated record
GGAACUACGGGCACUCAAAUCUCUAAUCUAAUUCACUAGCGUAAACUCAGCAUAUCCCUGCUUUAGCACUGUGGACACAACCCCCCCCCCAAAAUCCAAGGAUAUUAUUCUACCAGUGAGGGAUCGGAGGCGGGUAUGUUGGAGGAACGGAGGCUCAGAAGAUUGAAGAGAUGGAGAAAGCAAGACUUAUUGAGUUUCGGGAACAGGAGAGCUUGGCUCGCCAUCAGAUGGAAGAAGAGUGGAAAAGAGGGGAAGCAGAGAAAAGACUGCAAGAUGAAACUCUCCAUCAACUGCAGCU